Molecule: ribosomal RNA, 758 nt
Filed under: uncultured bacterium
Lineage: Bacteria
Description: bacterial SSU rRNA
Rfam family: Bacterial small subunit ribosomal RNA
Source: RNAcentral
UNCCACGUGUAGCAGUGAAAUGCGUAGAGAUGUGGAGGAAUACCGAUGGCGAAGGCAGCCCCCUGGGAUAAUACUGACGUUCAUGCUCGAAAGCGUGGGUAGCAAACAGGAUUAGAUACCCUGGUAGUCCACGCCCUAAACGAUGUCGAUUAGCUGUUGGGCAACUUGAUUGCUUAGUAGCGUAGCUAACGCGUGAAAUCGACCGCCUGGGGAGUACGGUCGCAAGAUUAAAACUCAAAGGAAUUGACGGGGACCCGCACAAGCGGUGGAUGAUGUGGAUUAAUUCGAUGCAACGCGAAGAACCUUACCUGGUCUUGACAUGAACGGAAGAACUCAGAGACGAGUUUGUGCCUUCGGGAGCCGUAACACAGGUGCUGCAUGGCUGUCGUCAGCUCGUGUCGUGAGAUGUUGGGUUAAGUCCCGCAACGAGCGCAACCCUUGUCAUUAGUUGCCAUCAUUUAGUUGGGCACUCUAAUGAGACUGCCGGUGACAAACCGGAGGAAGGUGGGGAUGACGUCAAGUCCUCAUGGCCCUUAUGACCAGGGCUUCACACGUCAUACAAUGGUCGGUACAGAGGGUAGCCAAGCCGCGAGGUGGAGCCAAUCCCAGAAAACCGAUNGUAGUCCGGAUUGCACUCUGCAACUNGAGUGCAUGAAGUCGGAAUCGCUAGUAAUCGCAGAUCAGCAUACUGCGGUGAAUACGUUCCCGGGUCUUGUACACACCGCCCGUCACACCAUGGGAGUGGGGGAUACCAGAAG